RNAcentral lists this ribosomal RNA (253 nucleotides) under uncultured bacterium. RNAcentral's name for it is "partial 16S ribosomal RNA". It matches the Rfam family "Bacterial small subunit ribosomal RNA", at positions 524 to 776 of the family's 1533-position model. The record is from RNAcentral.
UACAGAGGUCCCAAGCGUUGUUCGGAUUCAUUGGGCGUAAAGGGUGCGUAGGUGGCGCGCUAAGUCAGGUGUGAAAUUUCGGAGCUUAACUCCGAAACUGCAUUUGAUACUGGCGUGCUUGAGGACUGGAGAGGAGACUGGAAUUUACGGUGUAGCAGUGAAAUGCGUAGAGAUCGUAAGGAAGACCAGUGGCGAAGGCGGGUCUCUGGACAGUUCCUGACACUGAGGCACGAAGGCCAGGGGAGCAAACGGG